RNAcentral lists this unclassified non-coding RNA (275 nucleotides) under Hevea brasiliensis (rubber tree). Lineage: Eukaryota; Viridiplantae; Streptophyta; Magnoliopsida; Malpighiales; Euphorbiaceae. The record is from RNAcentral.
GGAAGGGAAGGGAAGGAAAAUGUAACUCAAAGUGAAGAAUUAAGGUUGUCAGGGUUUCAACUCAGUGUUAGAUAUAUUGUUUGAGCUUCUGAACAUAUUUAGGUAUGUAUGGUACGUUUUGGGAACCUAAGGAUGUUGCUGAGACUACUAAACCAUGGCCAAAAAAGUGGGUGUUCCGUUUUCUCCCCCAUUAGAUCUAGAGGCGUUUGUGUUCUGCCUCUGAAAUUCUAUCUUGUAAGCCAUCUUCCUCUCUUCUUGCGGCCGUUCAUCAUAUU